Molecule: ribosomal RNA, 1699 nt
Filed under: Hiodon alosoides (goldeye)
Lineage: Eukaryota; Metazoa; Chordata; Actinopteri; Hiodontiformes; Hiodontidae
Description: 16S rRNA
Rfam family: Bacterial large subunit ribosomal RNA
Source: RNAcentral
GCUGUAAAGCUAGCCUAAAAAUGAUAACCAAAGUGAACAAACAUAUAUAACCCCACAUGUUUUGAAAGUACUAAACAAACCAUUUUCCCACCUUAGUAUGGGCGACAGAAAAGGAAAUUAGAGCUAUAGAGAAAGUACCGUAAGGGAAAGCUGAAAGAGAAAUGAAAUAACUCAUUAAAGCACAAAGAAGCAGAGAUUAAACCUCGUACCUUUUGCAUCAUGAUUUAGCCAGUAAAAUUCAGGCAAAGAGCACUUAAGUCUGACACCCCGAAACUAAACGAGCUACUCCGAGACAGCCUAUCCAGGGCCAACCCGUCUCUGUGGCAAAAGAGUGGGAAGAUCUCCGAGUAGAGGUGACAGACCUAACGAGUUUAGUUAUAGCUGGUUGCUUAGGAAAUGGAUAUUAGUUCAGCCCCAUGGCCUUCUUAGAUCAAAUGAUAAGAUAUUUACCAAAUAAGAACCAAAGAUAACCAUGAGAGUUAGUCAAAAGAGGUACAGCUCCUUUGACAAAGAAUACAACCUUAAAAGAUGGAUAAGGAUCAUAAUGACCAAGGUAAUCUGCUUCAGUGGGCUUAAAAGCAGCCAUCUGAGUAGAAAGCGUUAAAGCUCAGGCAGAAUCAAAACCUAUUAUCCUGAUAAUAAAUCCUACUCCUCUAAAAGUACUAAGCCACUCUAUACAACUAUAGAAGCGAUAAUGCUAAAAUAAGUAAUAAGAAGGUAUGACCUUCUCCUAGCACAUGUGUAAGUCAGAUCGGACACCCCACUGACAAUUAACGAACCCAACAAAAGAGGGAAGCACAAGACACAACAUAACCAAGAAAAAUCUGUGACAAAUAUCGUUAACCCAACACAGGAGUGCAAAAAGGAAAGACUCAAAGGAAAAGAAGGAACUCGGCAAACACGGGCCUCGCCUGUUUACCAAAAACAUCGCCUCUUGCAAAAACCAAAGUAUAAGAGGUCCCGCCUGCCCAGUGACUCUGAGUUAAAUGGCCGCGGUAUUUUAACCGUGCAAAGGUAGCGUAAUCACUUGUCUUUUAAAUGAAGACCCGUAUGAAUGGCAUCACGAGGGCCCAGCUGUCUCCUUUUCCCAGUCAAUGAAAUUGAUCUGCCCGUGCAGAAGCGGGCAUGUAAACAUAAGACGAGAAGACCCUAUGGAGCUUAAGAUAUAUGACCAACCGCGCUUAGUAACCCUAAACCCAAAAGGAAACAAAAGGCAAAAGCGUAGCGGAACAUGGACUGAAUAUCUUCGGUUGGGGCGACCGCGGAGGAAAACAAAGCCUCCAUGUGGACUGAGGGCCAAGCCCUUAAAGCCAAGAGACACAACUCUAAGCAACAGACAAAUCUGACCAAAAAUGAUCCGGGCCAAAGCCCGAUCAACGGACCAAGUUACCCUAGGGAUAACAGCGCAAUCCUUUCCCAGAGUCCAUAUCGACGAAAGGGUUUACGACCUCGAUGUUGGAUCAGGACAUCCUAAUGGCGCAGCAGCUAUUAAGGGUUCGUUUGUUCAACGAUUAAAGUCCUACGUGAUCUGAGUUCAGACCGGAGUAAUCCAGGUCAGUUUCUAUCUAUGCAGUGACCCUUCCUAGUACGAAAGGACCGGAAGGAGUGGGGCCAAUUCUAAAAGUACGCCCCACCCCCAUCUGAUGAAAUCAACUAAAACAGAAAGGGGGAACAAUAAAGCAGCCCAAGAUAAUGGCGC